Molecule: ribosomal RNA, 479 nt
Filed under: Blastocystis sp. H-5
Lineage: Eukaryota; Bigyra; Opalinata; Blastocystidae
Description: SSU rRNA
Rfam family: Eukaryotic small subunit ribosomal RNA
Source: RNAcentral
GGAGGUAGUGACAAUAAAUCACAAUGCGGGACUAUACGUCUUGCAAUUGGAUUGAGAACAACGUACAACUCUUAUCGAUAAGCCAUUGGAGGGCAAGUCUGGUGCCAGCAGCCGCGGUAAUUCCAGCUCCAAUAGCGUAUAUUAACGUUGUUGCAGUUAAAAAGCUCGUAGUUGAAGUGAGGGAGUGUGUAGUAGGACCGACUUGAUCGGAACUGCUGCAACCUCCCCCCUCCAAUCGGUGUAGUGGGGUAUUCAGUUAUUCUACUACUCCUUUGGUCGUUUACUGUGAGAAAAUUAGAGUGUUCAAAGCGGGCGUUUGUUUGAAUAGAUUAGCAUGGAAUAAUGAUUGAAGGCUUUCGUGUUCGAUUUGAUUGGUUUGUUCAUGGAAGCAAGGUUAAAAGGAACAGUUGGGGGUAUUCAUAUUCACUAGUUAGAGGUGAAAUUCUCGGAUUUAUGGAAGAUGAACAAGUGCGAAAGCA